Long non-coding RNA from Onychostoma macrolepis, 636 nucleotides. RefSeq lists it as uncharacterized. The record is from RefSeq and is a predicted model, not a curated record. The transcript is spliced from 6 exons. Lineage: Eukaryota; Metazoa; Chordata; Actinopteri; Cypriniformes; Cyprinidae.
CUGAACCCAUCAAAGCUGAUUAGUAGUAGUUUGUUUUUGCCUGUGGUACAGUCAUCUCUGACUGGAGCAGAAAGAGUUGCAGGGAAUAUAAGCAGCAAAACACUCAGUGCCAGUAACAUGACAGGCUGUAUUGUGUGACGGUGAAGAUAAGCGUCCAACUAAGCAUUUGAACUUUAUCAAUCAGACAGUGCUUCAAAAGCUUGGGAAUCAUCUUCACCUGCUGGACCAACAGUUUGGACAUUCCUGCUGGUCUUUUCGGCAUGGAAUCCUGCAGUCUAGUUCUUUAAGCACCAGGUUAUCCCAAGAUGUAACCACCACAAAGACUAGCAAUAAAAAUCCAGCAGCAGCAGCAAGACCAUUGAACACAUUCUGAAGACUCGACUCGCGAACAUCUGUGCGUGUUAUCAGAUUUAGAAACAGGUGAAAAGCUUUCAUUUGGAUUUACCUCCAGAAUCACACGACUCUCCAUCAGAUAUCAACAUGUGUCGGGUGUUAUCCAGUGACCCGUCAUUGAUUUCUGGCUUUAUCCCCAGUAUUUACUGAUUCCUCACCCCGUUGAUGACAUAUCCUGGGUCUGCAUAGAGAACGAUGGGCAGGAUGCGUGGAUGUUUGGAGUAAUGCAGUCGAGCAGGCAUG